GUGUCAGCAGCCGCGGUAAAACGUAGGAGGCAAGCGUUAUCCGGAUUCACUGGGCGUAAAGCGCGUGCAGGCGGUUCGGUAAGUUGGGCGUGAAAUCUCCUGGCUCAACUAGGAGAGGUCGUCCAAUACUACCAGACUAGAGAGCGGUAGAGGAAGAUGGAAUUCCCGGUGUAGUGGUGAAAUGCGUAGAUAUCGGGAGGAACACCAGUGGCGAAGGCGAUCUUCUGGACCGUUUCUGACGCUCAGACGCGACAGCUAGGGUAGCAAACGGGAUUAGAUACCCCUGUAGUCC
RNAcentral lists this ribosomal RNA (292 nucleotides) under uncultured bacterium. RNAcentral describes it as "partial 16S ribosomal RNA". It matches the Rfam family "Bacterial small subunit ribosomal RNA", at positions 505 to 796 of the family's 1533-position model. The record is from RNAcentral.